AGGAGGAGCAACCCCGGUGGCUGCGGCAGCUCUGGUACCCUGGAGUCAGCCCCCGCAGUAACUCUGGAGCUCUCGGUCUGCAGGCCCUGGAGGCUCCGGGGCGGG
Molecule: microRNA precursor, 105 nt
Filed under: Canis lupus familiaris (dog)
Lineage: Eukaryota; Metazoa; Chordata; Mammalia; Carnivora; Canidae
Also listed under: 1 other name
Description: mir-8834 microRNA precursor family
Rfam family: mir-8834 microRNA precursor family
Source: Rfam by way of RNAcentral